RNAcentral lists this long non-coding RNA (558 nucleotides) under Homo sapiens (human). RNAcentral's name for it is "BRAF-activated non-protein coding RNA". The record is from RNAcentral. Lineage: Eukaryota; Metazoa; Chordata; Mammalia; Primates; Hominidae.
UAAGGUCUUGUAAGCUGUCUCUGGCUUUUUCUUGGGCUGUGUGGAGGAAUCCACUCUGUAUGGAGAAUGAAGCUGACGGGCAGAGAGAAAUAGAGAUCCAAGAACCUUCUUGUAGGGUCUGGAUUGGGACCCUUUUCUGGUAACAUCUUCCUGGUGACCAUGAAGGGACAAUACUGAAGAGACCCCUGACCCUAAGGAAAUAGACUGCAGCACCAAUGGGCCAACUUUGGUGAUCUCUGGCUGCUGCUCAGAAGAAACAAGAGGGAGGGAUGAAUAAUGUAAAACUCUGGAUCAAUAUUCUAAUUCUGAGCCUCUAUUGGAAUCAGCUAGCAACCACAUAUCAGCUUGGUUUCAACAGUUUCCCAGUUCAUGCUGCUGAGAAGUUCAGAGUCAAACCUGAAUCUCACCUCUGCAAAGAGCACAGGACUCCAUGGCAAACGUUGUAUAUACGCAAGUCAUCCCUGGCACCACAUUGAUUUACUGCACCAGGCUUUCUUCAUUGUGAUGAUGUUCUCUCUCUUUUCUAAAAAAAAAAUAAAAAUAAAAUUUAAAAAAUCC